Molecule: ribosomal RNA, 497 nt
Filed under: uncultured bacterium
Lineage: Bacteria
Description: partial 16S ribosomal RNA
Rfam family: Bacterial small subunit ribosomal RNA
Source: RNAcentral
GAUGAACGCUGGCGGCGUGCCUAAUACAUUCAAGUCGAGCGAACAGACGAGGAGCUUGCUCCUUUGACGUUAGCGGCGGACGGGUGAGUAACACGUGGGUAACCUACCUAUAAGACUGGGAUAACUUCGGGAAACCGGAGCUAAUACCGGAUAAUAUUUCGAACCGCAUGGUUCGAUAGUGAAAGAUGGCUUUGCUAUCACUUAUAGAUGGACCUGCGCCGUAUUAGCUAGUUGGUAAGGUAACGGCUUACCAAGGCAACGAUACGUAGCCGACCUGAGAGGGUGAUCGGCCACACUGGAACUGAGACACGGUCCAGACUCCUACGGGAGGCAGCAGUAGGGAAUCUUCCGCAAUGGGCGAAAGCCUGACGGAGCAACGCCGCGUGAGUGAUGAAGGUCUUCGGAUCGUAAAACUCUGUUAUUAGGGAAGAAUAAACGUGUAAGUAACUGUGCACGUCUUGACGGUACCUAAUCAGAAAGCCACGGCUAACUACGUG